RNAcentral lists this ribosomal RNA (325 nucleotides) under uncultured eukaryote. RNAcentral's name for it is "partial 18S ribosomal RNA". It matches the Rfam family "Eukaryotic small subunit ribosomal RNA", at positions 1470 to 1796 of the family's 1831-position model. The record is from RNAcentral.
CCCUUAGAUGUUCUGGGCUGCACGCGCGCUACACUGAAGCUAUCAACACGUUUUCCCUCCCUGAGAAGGGCGGGUAACCUUUUGAAUCAGCUUCGUGGUAGGGAUCGGGGCUUGCAAUUGUUCCCCGUGAACCAGGAAUUCCUAGUAGACGCGAGUCAUAAGCUCGCAUCGAUUAAGUCCCUGCCCUUUGUACACACCGCCCGUCGCUCCUACCGAUUGGGUGUGCUGGUGAAAUGUUCGGAUCGGCCGUUUGUCGCGGUUUCCGCGUCAUGUGGCUGAGAAGUUCAUUAAACCCUCCCACCUAGAGGAAGGAGAAGUCGUAACA